Molecule: ribosomal RNA, 496 nt
Filed under: uncultured bacterium
Lineage: Bacteria
Description: partial 16S ribosomal RNA
Rfam family: Bacterial small subunit ribosomal RNA
Source: RNAcentral
GAUGAACGCUGGCGGCGUGCCUAAUACAUGCAAGUCGAGCGAACAGACGAGGAGCUUGCUCCUCUGACGUUAGCGGCGGACGGGUGAGUAACACGUGGAUAACCUACCUAUAAGACUGGGAUAACUUCGGGAAACCGGAGCUAAUACCGGAUAAUAUAUUGAACCGCAUGGUUCAAUAGUGAAAGACGGUUUUGCUGUCACUUAUAGAUGGAUCCGCGCCGCAUUAGCUAGUUGGUAAGGUAACGGCUUACCAAGGCAACGAUGCGUAGCCGACCUGAGAGGGUGAUCGGCCACACUGGAACUGGGACACGGUCCAGACUCCUACGGGAGGCAGCAGUAGGGAAUCUUCCGCAAUGGGCGAAAGCCUGACGGAGCAACGCCGCGUGAGUGAUGAAGGUCUUCGGAUCGUAAAACUCUGUUAUUAGGGAAGAACAAAUGUGUAAGUAACUAUGCACGUCUUGACGGUACCUAAUCAGAAAGCCACGGCUAACUACGU